GACGGAAGGUGCAAGCGUUGCUCGGAAUCACUGGGCGUAAAGGGUGCGUAGGCGGCUUGGUGGGUCUGGUGUGAAAGCCCCGGGCUCAGCCCGGGAAGGGCACUAGAAACUGCCGAGCUGGAGUGCCGGAGGGGAGAGUGGAAUUCCUGGUGUAGCGGUGAAAUGCGUAGAUAUCAGGAGGAAUACCGGUGGCGAAAGCGACUCUCUAGACGGCAACUGACGCUGAGGCACGAAAGCGUGGGGAGCAAACAGG
This 253-nucleotide ribosomal RNA is filed under the name uncultured bacterium. RNAcentral's name for it is "partial 16S ribosomal RNA". It matches the Rfam family "Bacterial small subunit ribosomal RNA", at positions 524 to 776 of the family's 1533-position model. The record is from RNAcentral.